RNAcentral lists this ribosomal RNA (397 nucleotides) under uncultured bacterium. RNAcentral's name for it is "bacterial SSU rRNA". It matches the Rfam family "Bacterial small subunit ribosomal RNA", at positions 28 to 429 of the family's 1533-position model. The record is from RNAcentral.
GACGAACGCUGGCGGCGUGCUUAGCACAUGCAAGUCGAGCGGUAAGGCCCUUUCGGGGGUACACGAGCGGCGAACGGGUGAGUAACACGUGGGUGACCUGCCCUCAGCUCUGGGAUAAGCCCGGGAAACUGGGUCUAAUACUGGAUAUGACUCCAUGACGCAUGUUGUGGGGUGGAAAGCCUUGUGCGGCUGGGGAUGGGCCCGCGGCCUAUCAGCUUGUUGGUGGGGNGAUGGCCUACCAAGGCGACGACGGGUAGCCGGCCUGAGAGGGCGACCGGCCACACUGGGACUGAGACACGGCCCAGACUCCUACGGGAGGCAGCAGUGGGGAAUCUUGCGCAAUGGGCGAAAGCCUGACGUAGCGACGCCGCGUGAGGGAUGACGGCCUCGGUGUAAC